GAUGAACGCUGGCGGCGUGCCUAAUACAUGCAAGUCGAGCGAACAGACGAGGAGCUUGCUCCUCUGACGUUAGCGGCGGACGGGUGAGUAACACGUGGAUAACCUACCUAUAAGACUGGGAUAACUUCGGGAAACCGGAGCUAAUACCGGAUAAUAUAUUGAACCGCAUGGUGCAAUAGUGAAAGACGGUUUUGCUGUCACUUAUAGAUGGAUCCGCGCCGCAUUAGCUAGUUGGUAAGGUAACGGCUUACCAAGGCAACGAUGCGUAUCCGACCUGAGAGGGUGAUCGGCCACCCUGGAACUGAGCCACGGUCCAGACUCCUACGGGAGGCAGCAGUAGGGAAUCUUCCGCAAUGGGCGAAAGCCUGACGGAGCAGCGCCGCGUGAGUGAUGAAGGUCUUCGGAUCGUAAAACUCUGUUAUUAGGGAAGAACAAAUGUGUAAGUAACUAUGCACGUCUUGACGGUACCUAAUCAGAAAGCCACGGCUAACUACGUG
RNAcentral lists this ribosomal RNA (497 nucleotides) under uncultured bacterium. Its description in RNAcentral is "partial 16S ribosomal RNA". It matches the Rfam family "Bacterial small subunit ribosomal RNA", at positions 28 to 507 of the family's 1533-position model. The record is from RNAcentral.